Long non-coding RNA from Dermochelys coriacea (leatherback sea turtle), 5068 nucleotides. RefSeq lists it as uncharacterized. The transcript is spliced from 3 exons. Lineage: Eukaryota; Metazoa; Chordata; Testudines; Dermochelyidae. The record is from RefSeq and is a predicted model, not a curated record.
ACCGUCAGGCCGGGCCGGAGCCGCGCAAAACAAAGCCGCGAAGCGGGGCCGGUGCUGACGUGCUGCGUCCCGCCCCCACCCCGCGAGACCUUCCCCUGCCGCCGCUGCCGCCGGGCUGCGUCGCGGGGCCAAACAACUUCCACGUUCCGCGGCGCUGCGCCGGGGUCCGCCCUUGGAUUGUGCCUUGAUGCGCCUGUCACCCUGGCGUCGGGCCUUUCCGCGGGUUACGUUUUUGUCGGGACACCACGGAGUCAGCUGGCCCCGGCUCUUGUAACCCAGCCCCGGGACUCGGCUAAAAGUGGCCAUGCCCUCACUCGGACAUCUGGCUGGAACGCCUCCCACCCCUGGCCGGUGCGGGCCAUGGACAUGGGCUCCACAGAGUAUUUUGAGGUUUAAUGCAUUACUGUUCGUAAAGUGCUUGAAAUCCUCAGCUUGGAAGUGCCUUAUAAGUGUAAAAUAUUGUUAUUAUUGAAAUAUCAUGAGUGAGAUGUCAUAAGAAAUCUAGGCUUGUAUACCCUUGAAGAGGUAGAAGAAAAGAGCCAUUUGCAUUGAUCUGGAGGAGAGAGAAAACCUGAGCAUGAUGCAAAGACAUUCUGCCCCGAAUCAAAUUCACAAUUAAGCAUUGUAACUUUUCAAGUGACUUUGAGGUACAGUAUAAAACAGAAAGGACAGUGUGUCUGCUAAUAGGCUGGACAGUUUCCCAAACUUUUGAAAGAAAGAAAAUUAAACCAAUCACACCCAACUUCAGCACCAACAUGAGCAGUCAGUCAGGAAGAUCUAUGCAAUCUUGUCUUAUAGAAUACUCCUUUCAUACAUGCUUAGAUGAACAGUACAGUUGUUAAUGCUGAGGUAUAAAGUAUCAUUGACAUCUGAAUUAGUGCACACUGAAAUCAACAGGGUAGUUCAGAUCUCAUAUUUAUUGUUUCAGACUCUCUUGCAAAUUUGAGUAGUCACAGCCAGGUCACAUGUUGAAGGUUUUGAAAUGGAGAGAAUGGACCGGUUGUAAAAAAAAGCAUUUUAAUCAAGUGUCUGAUUCUGCUUUCAUUGCACUGUGUUGUACCUUACUCUGAGUAAUUUCAAGGGGAACACUGACUGAGCACAGUACUAUUACUCAUGAGUGUGGGUAGCAGUCUUGGGCCCCGAAUGAUUAUUUGGCUAUAAAUUAUAUUAAUUUACAGCUGUCUCUACAUUUGUAGGCAUGUAUUACUGUAUGGGUCAGGCCAAAUUCUACUUGUAGUUGUAGUAAUGGAAUCCCAUUCGUCAGAGCACAAUUUUGCUCCUUACUUCUUGCUAUCAUCUGGUUUACGUGCAUCAUCAGUAACUAUUUUUAUACUAUAUCCCGGGGUGGCUAACCUGUGGCUCCGGAGCCACAUGUGGCUCUUCAGAAGUUAAAAUGCAGUUCCUUGUAUAGGCACCGACUCCGGGGCGGGAGCUACAGGUGCCAACUUUCCAAUGGGCCAGGGGGUGCUCACUGCUCAACCCCUGGCUCUGCCACAGGACCUUUCCCCACUCCACCCCUUCCCACCCCCUCCUCUGACCCUAUCAUGCCCUUGCUCCUCCCCAGAGCCUCCUGCAUGCCACGAAACAGCUGAUUGGGAGGUGCAGGGAGGGAGGAGGAGGCGCUGAUCAGCUGGGCUGCCGAUGGACAGGAGGCACUGGGAAGGGAAGAGCUGAUGGGGGGCUGCUGAUGUAUUACUGUGGCUCUUUGGCAAUGUACAUUGGUAACUUCUGGCUCCUCCUCAGGCUCAGAUUGGCCACCCAUUUUAUACCAGCAAUGUAAGCCCAUGUAUCUGAGAGCAUGAUUCAGUUCUCAAGCCUAAAUUCUGUCCCCAGUUUCAUGGUGUGACUGACAGUGGAAUUUGGUUCCUAACUUUUUCAGUGUAAACAUUAUGUUGUUUGUCCUUUUUCUAAACUGCUUGUUUCCAUGCACAUAUAUACAACUUCAUUUAAUCAGUGAGUGUAUGAUCUAAGAAUAUUUAGAUUACUAUAUUUAGAAUAUUCCAGAUUAAUUACUUGAUAUGCUCCACCAAAACUAUAAAGAAAACUUUCAUUGUGUAGCCACUGUACUGGGCCUGUUUUUCCAUACUGUUGCACCAUUUUUACACUGGUAAAGUCAAUAGAGUCACAUCAUCAUAAAAUUAGUGUAAAGGAAGGAAUAAUCAGGCAACUUGUUUUAAAAUUGCAAUUUGGGAAUGUGUCAGUUAUGGACUACAAAUAUAUUAAAUGUGUCAGGCUUCAUGAGAAUAAUACAUUAUUCGGCUGUUGUAAGAAGUUAAAAUUUGUACCUUUUCUCCCUUAAAAGCAAAAACAAUCCUUAGACUAGAAAAGAUAAAUGAUAGAAGUACUAUAACAUUUACAAAAUAUUUCAAUUUUUUAUUACCAAUAACUUACAUUCAAAUAAAUUAUCUUUAAAAUACUAUGAUACAUUUUUACAUCAAGUUUAAAUUAGAAAGUUUUAGAGGUGGCAUUAGCACUCCAUAUAGUUAGCAAUCAGAUUCUAUUCCUGAAUCUUGCUCCAGUUCAACAUUGUCAUCUUCACUAUCUGAGUCUUCAUAAAAGGAAAUGGUAGCUUGAACUGGGAAGUUUUUCAGAAGUGCUUCAGCUUCUUGAUAUAAGUAAUCAUAGCACCUUGAUUUGGGCCAAAAUAGUCUGAAAUAAAUAUACAAUGUUUUGUGUAUUUAUUAUUGUUAGAUAAUAUCCUUUGUGUUUCUUGUCUGUCAGCCUCCGAGGACAGGAAAGUCUUCUGUGUUUCUAACAGACACCAACUCUUCCCCCCAACCUACACAAGUAUAACUUGCUGAGUCAGCACUAGAAAAGUUUCUCAUGUCUGAUAGAGAUAUUUUGAAAUUUAAAAUUUGUCAAAAAUACAGAUCUAAUAGAAGCCUCAAAUCUACUACCAUACAGAAUGUAGAAUCAAAAACUAACCUGAAUCCUGAGAUCCACUUCUGUAACUCAGCCUCCCUGCUACCCAAUUAACUGAAGUUCUACAAUAUGGUCCAAAGACUAUUUAAGAUGAACAUAAAUUACGUGGAUUGCUUUGUUACUAAGGGCCAUAUCCUCCUCUCACACCCGUGUAAAUCAGGAUCAACUUUACUGAAGUUAUGGUGUUACAAAGGUGUAAAUCUGAUGUAAGAAGAGAAUCAGGCCCAUGGGUUUUACCACAGAACUCAAUAGUUUUAAUCUAAAAGAAAAAAAAUCACUAGGUCUGAUUUGCCUCUCAUACCAGGUUUACGCUUGUGUGACUUCACUGACUACAGAGAUCCUGAUCUACACCAGAGUAUAUAACGAGUUUUCAAAGAUGGAGAAAAGGGAAUAAUAUAAUCCAAAUGUCAGUUGAGAACUAUACUGGUUUGCUUUGUGUAUGCUAUAUUGUUUACAGUGCAUUAUUAUGCAUGUACAGUAUGUGGACUGUUUUUCAUUUUUGACAAUAUAGCGAGGUUUAUACACAUUUACAAUAAAACGGAGUUGAAAGAAAGCAUUCAGAGCAAGAGUAACUUCUCAGGAUGAAACUAAAACCUAUAUUUUCUUCCCACUUGUGGACUACAUGCAGCUUGUAUCCGGUGGGUCUAGUUUUUCAAACUGAUCUCCUGUAUUGUGCCCACAGAUUAUAAACACCAAUGACAACAAUAAGACUUUUUUCCUACCUUAUUGGCAGGGACAUCCAACUAAUAUAAUUUACACUAUCAACUAAUCACAACAAAUUGCAAGCAAAAAUGGGAGGUGAAUUUAAAAAACAAAGAAAUGAAACGUAAGUUUCUAAAGGUAAAUGGACACUAACCACUUUGUCACCAGCACCAUUUGAUAUAUUUCCCUGUGCAAUGAUUCAUAAACACUGGUUACAUAUCCAUAACAGAAAUAAUUAAUAUAAGAGGAGGUUUAUUUACUUAUUCAAAAAUACUUUCUAAGUCAGUUGUAAAUAACAAAUUAUACUAGGCUACAUCUUUCUUCUGAACAUCGUAUCUUUUUCACUCAAGUAGUUUGUAUCACAUUUCCUGUUCACUUUUAGUGGGUAAGCCACAAUCCUGAAGAGACUCUCUCACAUGUUUGCAUCUAAGUAGUCCCACUGAGGUCAAUACAAUUACUCAAGUGUGUACAGAAUCGGGCCUAAAUUUGUGACCACUUUGUGUCCUACCUAAAAUACUAAUUUGUGUAAUUACAUUCUGCCUUCUUAAAUCACCUGGAUACCAUAAUGACUAGCUCUCAUUACAUGCAACAGAUAAAUCCUCUACAGUUUCGGCUAUAGUAAUCUUCUUUACUUCCUGACCUGAGCUGUUAGUGGUGUGUGCUAUCAAACAGCUGUCAAGUUUCACCUCAGGGAUGGUCACAGACCUGCAAGGUAUUCUGAACGUGUCAGAUGGAAGAAAACCCGCUUGGUCCUCCCCAUCUCCCUGCCGGGGCAGUAUUAUUGGCAGAUUUGAGACACUUACCACGCUUUGAUUUCUUCUCGGCUGUCUCUCUGCAUCGCUUUCGGUGGGGAUCCAAGGCCUCCAGAAUUCCCCGGCCCUGCGGAAUCAAGGAAACAGCCUGUUAAAUAGAGAUGAAAGCUCACCUAACCCUAUACUGGCUGCUCAGUUUCCACAGCCCGAUGGGUGGAAGAGACGUGGGGAAACCAGGAGUGUGAUCACAAGAGCAAUUGAUCGGUUGGAAGGAAGGCGCGGGGCGUGCGCUGAGCUGGAGGAAGUGCGGAUACCCAUGUUGUCCUUUGGAACAUCUCCGGGAGCUAAACCCGCGAAGUGGAGGGCAGCAGCAGAUGGGUGCGCUCUCCAUGCUCCGCCGCUACAGCACGGGAUCCGGACGAGGGAGUGGUGCUGCUUUGCCGAUGAUGAUCCUGAAGUAGAUCAGUUCUCCCGCUAGCCCGAGGCUGUGGGGCUUUUAUAGUCCCCGGCUAAUGACUAUUUAGGAGUCCACCCCCUCCCUUUCCUUUGCUAGUCAGAUAAACAAAAAGGCUACGCGUGAAGGCGCAUCAGUGUAAACAAGGAGCGUGGACGCGUGCAAGUCCCAAAUGGCCCAGGGAGAGAUUUGGCAAGUCAGUGUUAAUCACACUUGAACAGACACGGCUGCUGUCAUG